CAGUUACCCAGCCCUUUUCGCUGUGUAGGCAUUUAACUGCAGCAGUGGACUGUGGGUGUUUGCUGCAUCAAUGAAUAAAUCUCCUUUCGCGUCUCGGUUUUAUGAAUGUGUUUGUCCAGGUUUCUCCUCAGAGCUCUCAUGCCCAGACUUCUUCUGCACCUGUUGCCCACUUAUCGCCCUCAUUGCCAUCUACAUCUCCUGUUCAGUGUUCUAGGACUUGACUUUAGCCUGCUGUUCCUGAGUUCUCUGAGGGGUUCGAGGACAAAGACGUUUAACAACAUUUUGAUCAACCACAACAAAGAGGAAAUAUUGACAACUGGACAGAGGCAUGCAGUGGCGUGGAUGGAACACUGUUUUCCAACUCAAACGGCUCAAAUCCAAGUCAAGUGACAAGUCUUUGGUGAUUUCGUGAAGUUGAGUCUAAAGCCAUUAAACUUUUGAUUUGAGUCACAUGACUCAAGUCCACACUUCUGGUUUUACCCAUCCACAGAUCACCAAGAUUUUAACAUUUAUGUCUUUAAACUUUGUUGGGAGAAGUUUUCUAUUUUCAUUGUUCGUAGACUUCCCGCAUUAAAAUGUUCUGGUUGGGAUCCGUUUAGGAAAACUAUGAAGAAAGGUCAACAUUUAAAUUGAUUUAAAACAUUUAUGUCUAUAUUUCUGACCCGUUCCGAGCUUCAUUCGUUCUUCAUUAGUCCCAUGGUGCCACCAAACCUGCUGCUAAAAGAAUUUUUAGUGGGGUUUUGACUCCGAAUAAUCUGCAACCCUCCAACCAGCAGCACACGUUAAAAUAUUUCUUCUUCCGCUGACCUCUGACCUCUGUGCUUCUGAUUACAGAUGACAGCCAUCUUCUGGAAAAAAACCAGAUCAGAGCUGAUGUGCUGCUGAUGCUCUACCUUCUUGGAAACAUUUCCUUUUUAGUGGCCUUGUUAGUUGGAAUAGGAAAAAUGACAUAGUCAUAAAAAGCUGAAUCAGUCCAUUUUUAACAAAUUAGCUCAGAUUCUUUGUUUUAUUAUGAUUUCAGAAGAAUAAUUUCAGAAUUAUGAAAAAGCUUAAUUGUAAACAUUAGCUGUGAUGCAGUUAAAUAGAUAGUAGAAAAAUUUAUUUUGUUAGUAAAACAUAAUCUAGAAUAUAUUUGAUAUGUUUAU
Girardinichthys multiradiatus is the source of this 1145-nucleotide long non-coding RNA. RefSeq lists it as uncharacterized. Lineage: Eukaryota; Metazoa; Chordata; Actinopteri; Cyprinodontiformes; Goodeidae. The transcript has 2 exons. The record is from RefSeq and is a predicted model, not a curated record.